GAUGAACGCUAGCGAUAGGCUUAACACAUGCAAGUCGAGGGGUAACGUGUUGGAAGCUUGCUUCCGAUGACGACGACCGGCGGAUGGGUGCGUAACGCGUAUGCAACUUGCCUCACAGUGGAGAAUAACCCGGAGAAAUCCGGACUAAUACUCCAUACACUCUUAAGUACGCCUGUACAUGAGAGGAAAGAUUUAUCGCUGUGAGAUAGGCAUGCGUCCUAUUAGGUAGUUGGUGAGGUAACGGCUCACCAAGCCGACGAUAGGUAGGGGUGCUGAGAGGCAGAUCCCCCACAUUGGGACUGAGACACGGCCCAAACGCCUACGGGAGGCAGCAGUGAGGAAUAUUGGUCAAUGGAGGAAACUCUGAACCAGCCAAGUCGCGUGAAGGAAGAAUGUCCUAAGGAUUGUAAACUUCUUUAGCGAGCGAGUAAGGACUUCCACGUGAUGGGAGUUUGAAAGUAGCUCGAGAAUAAGUAUCGGCUAACUCCGUG
This 491-nucleotide ribosomal RNA is filed under the name uncultured bacterium. RNAcentral's name for it is "partial 16S ribosomal RNA". It matches the Rfam family "Bacterial small subunit ribosomal RNA", at positions 28 to 507 of the family's 1533-position model. The record is from RNAcentral.